Molecule: ribosomal RNA, 1346 nt
Filed under: uncultured bacterium
Lineage: Bacteria
Description: bacterial SSU rRNA
Rfam family: Bacterial small subunit ribosomal RNA
Source: RNAcentral
GACGAACGCUGGCGGCGUGCUUAACACAUGCAAGUCGAACGGAAAGGCCCUGCUUUUGUGGGGUGCUCGAGUGGCGAACGGGUGAGUAACACGUGAGUAACCUGCCCUUGACUUUGGGAUAACUUCAGGAAACUGGGGCUAAUACUGGAUAGGAGCUCCUGCUGCAUGGUGGGGGUUGGAAAGUUUCGGCGGUUGGGGAUGGACUCGCGGCUUAUCAGCUUGUUGGUGGGGUAGUGGCUUACCAAGGCUUUGACGGGUAGCCGGCCUGAGAGGGUGACCGGCCACAUUGGGACUGAGAUACGGCCCAGACUCCUACGGGAGGCAGCAGUGGGGAAUAUUGCACAAUGGGCGGAAGCCUGAUGCAGCAACGCCGCGUGCGGGAUGACGGCCUUCGGGUUGUAAACCGCUUUCGCCUGUGACGAAGCGUGAGUGACGGUAAUGGGUAAAGAAGCACCGGCUAACUACGUGCCAGCAGCCGCGGUGAUACGUAGGGUGCGAGCGUUGUCCGGAUUUAUUGGGCGUAAAGGGCUCGUAGGUGGUUGAUCGCGUCGGAAGUGUAAUCUUGGGGCUUAACCCUGAGCGUGCUUUCGAUACGGGUUGACUUGAGGAAGGUAGGGGAGAAUGGAAUUCCUGGUGGAGCGGUGGAAUGCGCAGAUAUCAGGAGGAACACCAGUGGCGAAGGCGGUUCUCUGGGCCUUUCCUGACGCUGAGGAGCGAAAGCGUGGGGAGCGAACAGGCUUAGAUACCCUGGUAGUCCACGCUGUAAACGGUGGGUACUAGGUGUGGGGUCCAUUCCACGGGUUCCGUGCCGUAGCUAACGCUUUAAGUACCCCGCCUGGGGAGUACGGCCGCAAGGCUAAAACUCAAAGGAAUUGACGGGGCCCCGCACAAGCGGCGGAGCAUGCGGAUUAAUUCGAUGCAACGCGUAGAACCUUACCUGGGUUUGACAUGGAUCGGGAGCGCUCAGAGAUGGGUGUGCCUCUUUUGGGGUCGGUUCACAGGUGGUGCAUGGCUGUCGUCAGCUCGUGUCGUGAGAUGUUGGGUUAAGUCCCGCAACGAGCGCAACCCUUGUUCACUGUUGCCAGCACGUUAUGGUGGGGACUCAGUGGAGACCGCCGGGGUCAACUCGGAGGAAGGUGGGGAUGACGUCAAGUCAUCAUGCCCCUUAUGUCCAGGGCUUCACGCAUGCUACAAUGGCUGGUACAGAGAGUGGCGAGCCUGUGAGGGUGAGCGAAUCUCGGAAAGCCGGUCUCAGUUCGGAUUGGGGUCUGCAACUCGACCUCAUGAAGUCGGAGUCGCUAGUAAUCGCAGAUCAGCAACGCUGCGGUGAAUACGUUCCCGGGGCU